AUUGAACGCUGGCGGCAGGCUUAACACAUGCAAGUCGAACGAGUGGCGGACGGGUGAGUAAUGCUUGGGAAUCUGGCUUAUGGAGGGGGUUAACGACGGGAAACUGUCGCUAUUACCGCGUACCAUAGGAUGAGCCCAAGUGGGAUUAGGUAGUUGUUGGGGUAAUGGCCUCCCAAGCCGACGAUCGCUAGCUGGUCUGGGAGGAUGACCAGCCGCACCGGACAUUGUGCGGGGCCCGGACUCCUACGGGAGGCAGCAGGGGGGAAAAUUGCGCAAUGGGGGCAACCUGACGCAGCCAUGCCGCGUGAAUGAAGAAGGCCUUCGGGUUGUAAAGUUCUUACGGUGACGAGGCGUUAAGCGCAGAAGAAGCACCGGCUAACUCCGUGCCAGCCGCCGCGGUAAUAC
This 405-nucleotide ribosomal RNA is filed under the name uncultured bacterium. RNAcentral describes it as "partial 16S ribosomal RNA". It matches the Rfam family "Bacterial small subunit ribosomal RNA", at positions 30 to 526 of the family's 1533-position model. The record is from RNAcentral.